This is a non-coding RNA of Perognathus longimembris pacificus (Pacific pocket mouse), 135 nucleotides long. RefSeq annotates it as small Cajal body-specific RNA 11. The transcript has a single exon. Lineage: Eukaryota; Metazoa; Chordata; Mammalia; Rodentia; Heteromyidae. The record is from RefSeq and is a predicted model, not a curated record.
CCGUCCCGGCCACGCCCGUGCGGCCCGUGCUCAGCCCCACGCGCGCCGCAGCCUGGCGGGACACACAGUGACCCCUCAGUUUAGGAGGGCGGGCCCGAAGGAUGGGUCCGGCUCUUAAAGGCACGAGGGGACAAG